CACGUAGUUAGCCGUCCCUUUCUGGUAAGUUACCGUCACAGUGUGAACUUUCCACUCUCACACUCGUUCUUCUCUUACAACAGAGCUUUACGAUCCGAAAACCUUCUUCACUCACGCGGCGUUGCUCGGUCAGACUUCCGUCCAUUGCCGAAGAUUCCCUACUGCUGCCUCCCGUAGGAGUCUGGGCCGUGUCUCAGUCCCAGUGUGGCCGAUCACCCUCUCAGGUCGGCUAUGUAUCGUCGCCUUGGUGAGCCGUUACCUCACCAACUAGCUAAUACAACGCAGGUCCAUCUCUUAGUGAUGCAAUUGCACCUUUCAAGUCAACAUCAUGCGAUAUCGACUUUUAUGCGGUAUUAGCUAUCGUUUCCAAUAGUUAUCCCCCGCUAAGAGGCAGGUUACCUACGCGUUACUCACCCGUUCGCAACUCAUCCGCUCGGUGCAAGCACCAAGCUUCAGCGUUCUACUUGCAUGUAUUAGGCACGCCGCAGCGUU
Molecule: ribosomal RNA, 492 nt
Filed under: uncultured Streptococcus sp.
Lineage: Bacteria; Bacillati; Bacillota; Bacilli; Lactobacillales; Streptococcaceae
Description: partial 16S ribosomal RNA
Source: RNAcentral